This is a long non-coding RNA of Bactrocera neohumeralis, 821 nucleotides long. RefSeq lists it as uncharacterized. Lineage: Eukaryota; Metazoa; Arthropoda; Insecta; Diptera; Tephritidae. The transcript is spliced from 2 exons. The record is from RefSeq and is a predicted model, not a curated record.
CAAUCGUCGCCAACGGCUGCCCUACAUCGUACGGAAAUAAAAUAAAUCAAACUAAACCUUGCCGUGGGUUCGAACCCAUUUCAUCGUAAAUUUUAAAAUCUAUUGACGUGAUAUAAAAAUUUCCAAAAAAUUAAAAAAGCUAUUUACGUGAAGUUAAAAUAAAAUUCGUAUGUAGAGGAAAAUAAACGUAAAACCGUUUAUUUGCAAUCGAAAGAUAAAACCUAUUUACCUACAAACCAACAUAAAGGAUUAUUUGAAUUCAAAAUACAAAACAACUAUUUACGUGAAGCUAAAACUUCAGAGCUAUUCCUGUGAAAAGAGAAACAUUACAAACCAGCAUAUAGGAGAUUUCAUGAAGUCUAAGAAGCAAAAGGAAAACUUCAGGAACACCAUUUUUUUGGACCAAUAUUGAAGCUCACAGCUCGUUUCCAUUCGUGUUUCUGAAAACAAGAUCUGCACAAUCUUCCUGUUAUUCGUAAGCAUCGUUAAAUAGCAUGUAAUUGAAUUUUUAUCGGCUCUUGACACAUCUUAUUUUCUACACAUUCUAUUUCUAUAAAGUAAUAUAUAUAACUAAAACUUCACUUCGACGGAAGCUGUGCUGAUAAAAAUGUGACAAUUCCGAUCAAACCCCGUUUCACCUGUGACGAUUUAUUUGAAAAAUUUAAAACGUGGAGUUUUUUACAAGAUGGGAAAUAUUUACCGUACGCCCAUGAAAUAUGGGAAGCUGCUUCUCUUAACACUCAAAAACAAAUGUCCAAAUCAUACAUCUAUCAGUACAUUACUCAAAAUCGAGGAAUGAUAAAUAAUUUCUAAUAAAAUAA